AGGUUUGGCACCUCGAUGUCGGCUCAUCGCAUCCUGGGGCUGAAGCAGGUCCCAAGGGUUUGGCUGUUCGCCAAUUAAAGCGGUACGUGAGCUGGGUUCAGAACGUCGCGAGACAGUUUGGUCCCUAUCUGCCGUGGGUGUUCGAAAAUUGAGAGGAGCUGCUCUUAGUACGAGAGGACCGGAGCGGACACACCUCUAGUGUACCAGUUGUGACGCCAGUCGCAGCGCUGGGUAGCCAAGUGUGGAAGAGAUAACCGCUGAAAGCAUCUAAGCGGGAAACUCGCCUCGAAACGAAUUUUCGCCAUAGGACCGUAGUAGACCACUACGUUGAUAGGCCCGAUGUGGAAGCACCGUAAGGUGUGCAGCUAACGGGUACUAAUCGUCCAAUUGGCUUCAUAAG
RNAcentral lists this ribosomal RNA (400 nucleotides) under Holosporales bacterium. Its description in RNAcentral is "partial 23S ribosomal RNA". It matches the Rfam family "Bacterial large subunit ribosomal RNA", at positions 2514 to 2925 of the family's 2925-position model. The record is from RNAcentral. Lineage: Bacteria; Pseudomonadati; Pseudomonadota; Alphaproteobacteria; Holosporales.